GUGACCAGAAGGUAACCGAUGUAGGCAGAGAGGAGGGACAAGGUGGCGAUGAAAUUAGGGUAGACGGUGGCAGUCCAAGCAGAAACAACAAUGACACAAAUGGAACCGCUACAAACUCCGGUCAGAAGGCAAUGACAAUGACACAAAUGGAACCGCUACAAACUCCGGUCAGAAAGCAAAUGGCACUGGUCAUGUCCGAAUCUACUAUUGUCUCCAUUUCCCUCUUUUCAAACAACUCCCAUGUGUCUUGUGAUGCCUUCACAAAACUUUUCGCAUAUGCAGCAAUCUGUGAAAAUAUUUUCGAAUUUCCAAUCAACGUUACAUUUAAUUAAACAACUUGCCGAUCCAAAAGCUCGAAUAAAGGAAGAAGGUAGAGAUAAAUUAGUUAAUUUAAAUUUAAUUAAAGAAUUUAUUUCUUUAUUUGAAUAAUUGUGUGAUGGACGACCCUUAGUGACAAACUUCCGAAUAAUUAAGCACGAAUUCGAUGUAUUAAAGAGUCACCAACUAAAUAUGGUUGCAAAAUGGUGCAAGUUGGAGUGGGUUUUAUAUGUUUUUUUUCUGAAUAUUUGAAAAAAAAUAUUUUAAGGAAACUACUGACAUCUCAACUCACGCCUCAUUGAAGGCGAGAGGGAAUUAUGACUCUAACUCUAUGUAUUAGAUAUAUAUUUAACAAGUCGGAAACGCCCGUAUUAAGUUAUAAACUGAGAAUGACUCAGAGUAUG
RNAcentral lists this long non-coding RNA (722 nucleotides) under Nicotiana benthamiana. RNAcentral's name for it is "long non-coding RNA (NBEN_LNC031904)". The record is from RNAcentral. Lineage: Eukaryota; Viridiplantae; Streptophyta; Magnoliopsida; Solanales; Solanaceae.